GUCAGAUAGCGCAGUGGUUAGCGCUUCGGGUUCUAUUCGCAAGGUUGUCAGUUCAAGUCUAGUAGAUGACA
Molecule: non-coding RNA, 71 nt
Organism: Gigaspora rosea
Lineage: Eukaryota; Fungi; Glomeromycota; Glomeromycetes; Diversisporales; Gigasporaceae
Source: the annotation of a GenBank genome assembly